This 289-nucleotide ribosomal RNA is filed under the name uncultured bacterium. RNAcentral's name for it is "partial 16S ribosomal RNA". It matches the Rfam family "Bacterial small subunit ribosomal RNA", at positions 773 to 1060 of the family's 1533-position model. The record is from RNAcentral.
GUGGAUUAGAUACCCUGGUAGUCCUGGCCGUAAACGAUGAACACUAGGUGUCGGGGGAAUCGACCCCCUCGGUGUCGUAGCCAACGCGUUAAGUGUUCCGCCUGGGGAGUACGCACGCAAGUGUGAAACUCAAAGGAAUUGACGGGGGCCCGCACAAGCGGUGGAGUAUGUGGUUUAAUUCGAUGCAACGCGAAGAACCUUACCAGGGUUUGACAUCCUGCGAAUCCCUUGGAAACGAGGGAGUGCCUUCGGGAACGCAGUGACAGGUGGUGCAUGGCUGUCGCCAGCU